Molecule: ribosomal RNA, 635 nt
Filed under: uncultured bacterium
Lineage: Bacteria
Description: bacterial SSU rRNA
Rfam family: Bacterial small subunit ribosomal RNA
Source: RNAcentral
UGGUAGUNCACGCCGUAAACGAUGAGUGCUAGGUGUUAGGCCCUUUCCGGGGCUUAGUGCCGGAGCUAACGCAAUAAGCACUCCGCCUGGGGAGUACGACCGCAAGGUUGAAACUCAAAGGAAUUGACGGGGGCCCGCACAAGCGGUGGAGCAUGUGGUUUAAUUCGAAGCAACGCGAAGAACCUUACCAGGUCUUGACAUCCCGAUGCUAUUCUUAGAGAUAGGAAGUUACUUCGGUACAUCGGAGACAGGUGGUGCAUGGUUGUUGUCAGCUCGUGUCGUGAGAUGUUGGGUUAAGUCCCGCAACGAGCGCAACCCUUAUUGUUAGUUGCCAUCAUUAAGUUGGGCACUCUAGCGAGACUGCCGGUAAUAAACCGGAGGAAGGUGGGAUGACGUCAAAUCAUCAUGCCCCUUAUGACCUGGGCUACACACGUGCUACAAUGGUCGGUACAACGAGUUGCGAGCCGGUGACGGCAAGCUAAUCUCUGAAAGCCGAUCUCAGUUCGGAUUGGAGGCUGCAACUCGCCUCCAUGAAGUCGGAAUCGCUAGUAAUCGCGGAUCAGCACGCCGCGGUGAAUACGUUCCCGGGCCUUGUACACACCGCCCGUCACACCACGAGAGUUUGUAACACCCGA